AUGACUUUGAUCUGCGUCCUCAUCUGGACUCUCCUCUGCUGCUGCUUCACAGAGUCCAGAGGACAGAUCACAGUGACUCAGCCUGGAGCAGUGAGCUCUGCUGUGGGAGGAUCUGUGAGGAUCGAGUGUAGGACCAGUCAGAAUGUUUAUGUUUCUGGCAGCACCCACUAUUUAGCCUGGUACCAACAGAAAGAUGGAGGAGUUCCUAAACUGCUCAUUUAUCGUGCUAGCACUCGAUAUUCAGGGAUUCCAGCUCGUUUUACAGGCAGUGGAUCAAACUCUGACUUCACUCUGACCAUCAGUGGAGUCCAGGCUGAAGAUGCAGCAGUUUAUUACUGUCAGAGUUAUCACUACAUCAACAGUCAGCGUGUGUUCACACAGUGA
Molecule: non-coding RNA, 384 nt
Organism: Oreochromis aureus
Lineage: Eukaryota; Metazoa; Chordata; Actinopteri; Cichliformes; Cichlidae
Source: the annotation of a RefSeq genome assembly